CGUUCCCCAUUUUGCAGGGAAACCAAGGCCAGUAGAGGUGAAGCGGCAUACCCCAGGUCAUCACUCAGAUCGCUUGCCUCCAAGUCCAAGGCUCUUUCCCCUCCCAAUUCUCCUGAUCUGUGACCUCCUGGGCAUUCUGGCCAAUCUGCUUCCCUCUGACUUUGCAGACUGCACUGAUGGAACUACCACUAAGGCAGGUGUGGAGCCUGCAAUCUCCUGACCAGCUUGUGCUUCUUGGUUCUUAUGCAAGCCAGUUCUCUCUGUGAAAUAUUUCUAAGCAGCCCUCAACCACCAGGUCUAUGAGGGUCCCUGUUGUCCCUCAGCCAAGGCUGCUCUCUCCCCUAGAUCCCCACCUCACCAGGGUCACAAGGAUACACACAACUAUUGCAGGAAACAUAGGUUCUUCCUGCAAUACAAUUAAAGCUGCUAACAUUUACUGAGUACCUACUGGUUGUUGUGAGGAUAUUGAGGUUCAGAAGGGCUAAGUGACUUGCCCAAGGUCAUCCAGUUAAUUGUUAAGGCAGUAUUCAUAACUCGAGCCUGUCAGACUCUAGAAUCCACUUUAUUUUUCCUCUGCUACACUGCCCUGGCUCCCUACCCUACAAGUGCUUAGAGAUCUAAAGCAAAGUAGAAAAGGAAAAGUGAGCAAGACGGAGGGGCUUUUACAUUUUCACUGCCUGGCUCCCAACCCAGACUCUGGCAAGGCUAAUUCCAUGAUGU
RNAcentral lists this long non-coding RNA (720 nucleotides) under Homo sapiens (human). Its description in RNAcentral is "novel transcript". Lineage: Eukaryota; Metazoa; Chordata; Mammalia; Primates; Hominidae. The record is from RNAcentral.